AAGUUAUCUACUAGAUAUGCCUAUUCGAUGAGAUCAGCAGGCUAAUCUAAAACUGGACAUAAUAGAUUCACAAGGGUACAUGUCAUUUCCAAGUCAAUUCGCCUCAGAUUUAUUAUCAUUUUUUCAAUGCCAUGAUCUCGGAGCAUAAGAAACAAACAGAUAGAAGCAAACCAAGAUCGUGACAGCCAUGGAAGCGUGAGACACGUCCAUCCCAGCCAUCACCUCAUCAUAAGCAAGGUGUUAAUUGGGAAUGGACGUGUCUCACGGUUUGAUGACAAUCAUGACAACUACAAAACACAUAAAGAAGCACCCGUCCAGUACCUCACAAGCUCAUGGCAUUCAAGUUAUUGAACCAAUUUUAUAAUCAUCAUAGGCAUUUAAAGAAACUGACAUAUAGAAAAGCCUUACUCAGUAUAUGAAAAAGGUGAGAAAACUGGUUAUAUCGGUUUUGCCUCAGUCAGCCAAGCUUGUAGAAACGAAAUAUGUGUACUCAGUAUUGAAGAUCUUUGAUUUGUAUGGAAACAAAGCGUAAAGGCCUCAGCUUAAUUAAACAAAGCGUAAAGGCCUCAGCUUAAUUGGUGGCUGCCAUCUAAAUGAAUAGACCAAACAUAGGCAACUUGGGAAGUUCAGAAAAAACACAUGCCAACCAUCAGAGUUGUUCAACCAUACACUGUUUUGCCAUCUACUUGAGCAUGACCCAAAUGUUGCUAGACAGUGAAUGGUUCCAAAAGAUCUGAUGAAUGACAUGACAAAAUGCAAGAAAAAGUGAGAAGUAAAAAUGCAGCCACCUCAGAGUAGUUUAAGUUUCAUCAUAG
This 815-nucleotide long non-coding RNA is filed under the name Sorghum bicolor (sorghum). Its description in RNAcentral is "long non-coding RNA (SBIC_LNC017748)". Lineage: Eukaryota; Viridiplantae; Streptophyta; Magnoliopsida; Poales; Poaceae. The record is from RNAcentral.